RNAcentral lists this ribosomal RNA (701 nucleotides) under uncultured fungus. RNAcentral describes it as "Internal transcribed spacer". The stretch from base 62 to 215 matches the Rfam family "5.8S ribosomal RNA". The record is from RNAcentral. Lineage: Eukaryota; Fungi.
UUGCAUCCACUUUUAAACUAAACAUUAUUGUAACAAAUGUAGUCUUAUUAUAACAUAAUAAAACUUUCAACAACGGAUCUCUUGGCUCUCGCAUCGAUGAAGAACGCAGCGAAAUGCGAUAAGUAAUGUGAAUUGCAGAAUUCAGUGAAUCAUCGAAUCUUUGAACGCACCUUGCGCCCUUUGGUAUUCCGAAGGGCAUGCCUGUUUGAGUGUCAUGAAACCUCACCCCACUUAGGUUUUUGCCUAAGCGGUGGUGUAUUGGGUGUUUGCCUUGCUAAAGGCUCGCCUUAAAGAUAUAAGCACCUUGGAUGUAAUACGUUUCAUCCUUCUGGGUGGCUGAUAACCCCACAUAUUCAUGAUCUGGCCUCAAAUCAGGUAGGGCUACCCGCUGAACUUAAGCAUAUCAAUAAGCGGAGGAAUCUUUCUAGAAGAUCUCCUACAAUAUUCUCAGCUGCCAUGGAAAAUCGAUGUUCUUCUUUUAUUCUCUCAAGAUUUUCAGGCUGUAUAUUAAAACUUAUAUUAAGAACUAUGCUAACCACCUCAUCAGGAACCGUUGUAGGUGGCGUGGGUUUUCUUGGCAAUCGACUCUCAUGAAAACUACGAGCUAAAUAUUCAAUAUGUUCCUCUUGACCAACUUUAUUCUGCAUUUUUUUUGAACGAGGUUUAGAGCAAGCUUCAGGAAACUGAGACAGGAAUUUUAU